GAUGAACGCUGGCGGCGUGCCUAAUACAUGCAAGUCGAGCGAACAGAUGAGGAGCUUGCUCCUCUGACGUUAGCGGCGGACGGGUGAGUAACACGUGGAUAACCUACCUAUAAGACUGGGAUAACUUCGGGAAACCGGAGCUAAUACCGUAUAAUAUAUUGAACCGCAUGGUUCAAUAGUUAAAGACGGUUUUGCUGUCACUUAUAGAUGGAUCCGCUCCGCAUUAGCUAGUUGGUAAGGUAACGGCUUACCAAGGCAACGAUGCUUAGCCGACCUGAGAGGGUGAUCGGCCACACUGGAACUGAGACACGGUACAGACUCCUACGGGAGGCAGCAGUAGGGAAUAUUCCGCAAUGGGCGAAAGCAUGACGGAGCAACGCCGCGUGAGUGAUGAAGGUCUUCGGAUCGUAAAACUCUGUUAUUAGGGAAGAACAAAUGUGUAAGUAAAUAUGCACGUAUUGACGGUACCUAAUCAGAAAGCCACGGCUAACUACGUG
Molecule: ribosomal RNA, 497 nt
Filed under: uncultured bacterium
Lineage: Bacteria
Description: partial 16S ribosomal RNA
Rfam family: Bacterial small subunit ribosomal RNA
Source: RNAcentral